This 323-nucleotide long non-coding RNA is filed under the name Olea europaea subsp. europaea. The record is from RNAcentral. Lineage: Eukaryota; Viridiplantae; Streptophyta; Magnoliopsida; Lamiales; Oleaceae.
CCAAGCACGAAGAUCAUCCAAAUCUAGAGAAAUUAUGAAGGAAAAUUACAUGACAACAAACCUUAUACCAUGAUUUUAAGGUUACUAUAGACUAUCUACUGAUAAUCGAAGAGCUAAUAGUAGAUUGCAAUAGGAUGGAGAAGGUUCUGAAGAGCGAUUGCCAUGGAACUGUCGAGGAGUGUAGAAAUGAGAAAACCUUGAGCAAAAAUGAUGUCGUUUUGGUUGUCAAGGAACGACGUCAUUUCGAAACAAAAGAUGUAUUUUUAUUUUUUAUUUUUAUAUAUACAUAAAACGUCGUCAUUUUGCAAAGGAAAGGAAGAGAG